AUUGAACGCUGGCGGCAUGCCUUACACAUGCAAGUCGAACGGCAGCGGGGGAGAAGCUUGCUUUUCCUGCCGGCGAGUGGCGAACGGGUGAGUAAUACAUCGGAACGUGCCCUGUAGUGGGGGAUAACUAGUCGAAAGAUUAGCUAAUACCGCAUACGACCUGAGGGUGAAAGUGGGGGACCGCAAGGCCUCAUGCUAUAGGAGCGGCCGAUGUCUGAUUAGCUGGUUGGUGGGGUAAAGGCUUACCAAGGCGACGAUCAGUAGCUGGUCUGAGAGGACGAUCAGCCACACUGGGACUGAGACACGGCCCAGACUCCUACGGGAGGCAGCAGUGGGGAAUUUUGGACAAUGGGCGAAAGCCUGAUCCAGCAAUGCCGCGUGUGUGAAGAAGGCCUUCGGGUUGUAAAGCACUUUUGUCCGGAAAGAAAUGGCUCUGGUUAAUACCUGGGGUCGAUGACGGUACCGGAAGAAUAAGGACCGGCUAACUACGUGCCAGCCGCCGCAGUAA
This 508-nucleotide ribosomal RNA is filed under the name uncultured bacterium. RNAcentral describes it as "partial 16S ribosomal RNA". It matches the Rfam family "Bacterial small subunit ribosomal RNA", at positions 30 to 523 of the family's 1533-position model. The record is from RNAcentral.